GUACACUGUACAUAAAUCUAAAACAGCUCUCAGAUAAUGCAGCUAUAAUUAAGGAAAACCCAGUACACAUCUGAACUUACUUUCCUCCUUUGCAGUUAGUAUGAUCACACGGGCGCCAAUAAGAGUGAAAGGUUUCUGUACACAGCAUAUAUAACAAGUGCUUUCCUUGAAGCCCAGAAUUAAUCUGCUGUCUUCUGUAUUCAGCAUGACCUCCUCUCAAUCCUUUGAAUGAGAUUUUAACAAAAAAUUUUUUCAAGGAAAACCACAAUGAGAUGCUUUCCUAAUU
Molecule: non-coding RNA, 286 nt
Organism: Pelobates cultripes (western spadefoot toad)
Lineage: Eukaryota; Metazoa; Chordata; Amphibia; Anura; Pelobatidae
Source: the annotation of a GenBank genome assembly